RNAcentral lists this ribosomal RNA (489 nucleotides) under uncultured bacterium. RNAcentral's name for it is "partial 16S ribosomal RNA". It matches the Rfam family "Bacterial small subunit ribosomal RNA", at positions 28 to 507 of the family's 1533-position model. The record is from RNAcentral.
GACGAACGCUGGCGGCGUGCUUAACACGUGCAAGUCGAACGGAAAGGCCCCCACCUUGGUGGGGGUGCUCGAGUGGCGAACGGGUGAGUAACACGUGGGUGAUCUGCCCUGUACUUCGGGAUAAGCUUGGGAAACUGGGUCUAAUACCGGAUAGGACCAUGGUUUAGUGUCUCAUGGUGGAAAAAUUAUUGUUUUGGUGCAGGAUGAGCUCGCGGCCUAUCAGCUUGUUGGUGGGGUAAUGGCCUACCAAGGCGUCGACGGGUAGCCGGCCUGAGAGGGUGGACGGCCACAUUGGGACUGAGAUACGGCCCAGACUCCUACGGGAGGCAGCAGUGGGGAAUAUUGCACAAUGGGCGCAAGCCUGAUGCAGCGACGCCGCGUGGGGGAUGACGGCCUUCGGGUUGUAAACUCCUUUCGUUAGGGACGAAGCCACACCUUUUUUGGGUGUGGUGACGGUACCUUUGUUAAGAAGCACCGGCUAACUACGUG